CUCUGGGUCAUAUUUCCAUCAAUUCUUGUCUCCAAUGGGAGCCUUUAGUUGUUUACUCUCUUUUUAACCAUUUUCCUCCUCAUUCGUUGCUCCAUCUAAACUGGAAUGUCCGUUAAACGCUCUGUGUUCAGAGAAACCUUGUUAAAUAGCAAACCAAGUCUAGCACCACAGAUUCCCAUCGGAUCUAAAAUGACUUUCCCAACAAAAAUGUGUUUUGCAAGCAGUUGACUGUAACUGUUUUGGUUCAGUGCUCAGUCUGGAGCUGGUGAGCAGACUCAGAGGGGACGCCUUCUCCUCCUCCUCUUCUUAUGGCUGUUAAACGACGACCACUUGAAAGGAGGAUGAAGACUGUCAGCGGGUGGGUGAGACUUUCCCCGGUUGUGUGGACGCAUCCGUCAUCAUCAUCAUCUCCCUACUACUCCACACUAUAAACACUAGCAACAUAUCAUCAUGACCAGCAAAACAAUCAUGAGAAGAAGGAAGAGAGCAAGAACAAAGAAUUACAACAAACCAGUAGACUGUG
Molecule: long non-coding RNA, 523 nt
Organism: Coregonus clupeaformis (lake whitefish)
Lineage: Eukaryota; Metazoa; Chordata; Actinopteri; Salmoniformes; Salmonidae
Exons: 3
Source: RefSeq, a predicted model, not a curated record